UCAACCAANGUAUGCUUUGGAAACUGUUAGACUNGAGUGCAGAAGGGGAGAGUGGAAUUCCAUGUGUAGCGGUGAAACGCGUAGAUAUAUGGAGGAACACCGGUGGCGAAAGCGGCUCUCUGGUCUGUCACUGACGCUGAGGCUCGAAAGCGUGGGUAGCGAACAGGAUUAGAUACCCUGGUAGUCCACGCCGUAAACGCUGAGUGCUAGGUGUUAGGUCCUUUCCGGGACUUAGUGCCGACGCUAACGCAUUAAGCACUCCGCCUGGGGAGUACGACCGCAAGGUUGAAACUCAAAGGAAUUGACGGGGGCCCGCACAAGCGGUGGAGCAUGUGGUUUAAUUCGAAGCAACGCGAAGAACCUUACCAGGUCUUGACAUCCCGAUGCCCGCUCUAGAGAUAGAGUUUUACUUUUUGUACAUCGGAGACAGGUGGUGCAUGGUUGUCGUCAGCUCGUGUCGUGAGAUGUUGGGUUAAGNNNNNNNACGAGCGCAACCCUUAUUGUUAGUUGCCAUCAUUAAGUUGGGCACUCUAGCGAGACUGCCGGUAAUAAACCGGAGGAAGGUGGGGAUGACGUCAAAUCAUCAUGCCCCUUAUGACCUGGGCUACACACGUGCUACAAUGGUUGGUACAACGAGUCGCAAGCCGGUGACGGCAAGCUAAUCUCUGAAAGCCAAUCUCAGUUCGGAUUGUAGGCUGCAACUCGCCUACAUGAAGUCGGAAUCGCUAGUAAUCGCGGAUCAGCACGCCGCGGUGAAUACGUUCCCGGGCCUUGU
This 775-nucleotide ribosomal RNA is filed under the name uncultured bacterium. Its description in RNAcentral is "bacterial SSU rRNA". It matches the Rfam family "Bacterial small subunit ribosomal RNA", at positions 609 to 1384 of the family's 1533-position model. The record is from RNAcentral.